CUGGUGGCUCACCGCAGACGGCAGUUGAGGCUCUCUUGCUGAAAACAACACCUACGAAAAUCGUUGAACACUGAGAAUUCCAGCAGCUGACUACCUGGAACCUUUACUCGUACUGACUGGUGUUCCUGGUACUUGAAGCUACUCUGUAUAAUAACACAGGAGAGAGGGACAUGUUGAAGGAACGCCCUCUCCAUUGAUGAUGCAGAAACUCAUGUUGGGUCAAUGCUGAGAAUACAUGAUUGUGUGGAUAAUUCUCUGGCCUUGCAAGAAAUUCCACCCGUGAUGCUCAGUGAUGACUUCCUCAAAUGAAGAGGUGAUGCUACGCUUUGGAAAUGCAAAAUGUUCUGUGGCGCAUCCAGGAGUCUAAACGGAUCAUCAUUCUGCACAUAAUCCAUGGUUUUCAAUUAUCCGUGCCACUGGUUUGCCACGUUAGCAUGAC
Molecule: long non-coding RNA, 439 nt
Organism: Rattus norvegicus (Norway rat)
Lineage: Eukaryota; Metazoa; Chordata; Mammalia; Rodentia; Muridae
Source: Ensembl